Molecule: ribosomal RNA, 429 nt
Filed under: Bacillota bacterium
Lineage: Bacteria; Bacillati; Bacillota
Description: Firmicutes bacterium partial 16S ribosomal RNA
Rfam family: Bacterial small subunit ribosomal RNA
Source: RNAcentral
UGGGGAAUUUUGGACAAUGGGCGCAAGCCCGAUCCAGCCAUGCCGCGUGUGUGAAGAAGGCCUUCGGGUUGUAAAGCACUUUCGGCCGGAACGAAAUCGCGCGGAUUAAUAACCCGCGCGGAUGACGGUACCGGAAGAAGAAGCACCGGCCAACUACGCGCCAGCAGCCGCGGUAAUACGUAGGGUGCGAGCGUUAAUCGGAAUUACUGGGCGUAAAGGGUGCGCAGGCGGUCCUGCAAGUCAGGCGUGGAAUCCCCGGGCUUAACCUGGGAAUGGCGCUUGAAACUACGGGACUGGAGUAUGGCAGAGGGAGGUGGAAUUCCACGUGUAGCGGUGAAAUGCGUAGAGAUGUGGAGGAACACCGAUGGCGAAGGCAGCCUCCUGGGCCAAUACUGACGCUCAUGCACGAAAGCGUGGGGAGCAAACAGG